GACGAACGCUGGCGGCGUGCCUAAUACAUGCCAGUAGAACGCUGAAGCGAGGAGCUUGCUCUUCUUGGAUGAGUUGCGAACGGGUGAGUAACGCGUAGGUAACCUGCCUUGUAGCGGGGGAUAACUAUUGGAAACGAUAGCUAAUACCGCAUAACAAUGGAUGACACAUGUCAUUUAUUUGAAAGGGGCAAUUGCUCCACUACAAGAUGGACCUGCGUUGUAUUAGCUAGUAGGUGAGGUAAUGGCUCACCUAGGCGACGAUACAUAGCCGACCUGAGAGGGUGAUCGGCCACACUGGGACUGGGACACGGCCCAGACUCCUACAGGAGGCAGCAGUAGGGAAUCUUCGGCAAUGGGGGCAACCCUGACCGAGCAACGCCGCGUGAGUGAAGAAGGUUUUCGGAUCGUAAAGUUCUGUUGUAAGUCAAGAACGGGUGUGAGAGUGGAAAGUUCACACUGUGACGGUAGCUUACCAGAAAGGGACGGCUAACUACGUG
RNAcentral lists this ribosomal RNA (497 nucleotides) under uncultured bacterium. RNAcentral's name for it is "partial 16S ribosomal RNA". It matches the Rfam family "Bacterial small subunit ribosomal RNA", at positions 28 to 507 of the family's 1533-position model. The record is from RNAcentral.